CCCUGCAGGGAGAGGAGUCCCUGAAAGACCUUUCCCCGUGUUUGAAGGGCCCAGCCACCCCUUCCGAACCCUGGAGCUUUCACACA
This is a small nucleolar RNA of Dama dama (fallow deer), 86 nucleotides long. RefSeq annotates it as small nucleolar RNA SNORA71. The transcript has a single exon. NCBI's taxonomy places the organism in Eukaryota, Metazoa, Chordata, Mammalia, Artiodactyla, Cervidae. The record is from RefSeq and is a predicted model, not a curated record.